UCCGUCUCAAAAAAAAAAGAAAAAAUUGGAAUGAUACAGAGAAGAUUGGCAUGGUCCCUGUGCAAGGAUGACAUGCAAAUUUGUAAAGUGUUCCAUAAAAAA
Molecule: small nuclear RNA, 102 nt
Organism: Pan troglodytes (chimpanzee)
Lineage: Eukaryota; Metazoa; Chordata; Mammalia; Primates; Hominidae
Source: Rfam